Molecule: long non-coding RNA, 1008 nt
Filed under: Apteryx haastii (Great spotted kiwi)
Lineage: Eukaryota; Metazoa; Chordata; Aves; Apterygiformes; Apterygidae
Description: lncRNA (ENSAHAG00000009913.1)
Source: RNAcentral
AUGAGAACGGGCCUGGUCCCAGCAGGGGAAGCUCGUCCCCUCCCCGGUCCCUGCUCCCGGGGGAACGUCUCCGUCGAUUUGGGAAGCGUGUUGCGUUGCCGCGUUGCACGGAGACACGCGCACACUGCAACCCGUAGCAACAAGGAUGCUACAUGGCAACCGCGGUCUCAGCCAUCCUGUUGUGUCAUGAAGAGGGAGAGAGACGGUCCCCCCCCCCCCCCCCCCCCUUGGCUGCAUCGAUCUUUUUAUGGUUAUGAUUAUUUUUCCCAGACAAAACAAGUAUCGGGGAGGGGCCGUGCUGGCUCUGUGUGGGAUCUGGCAACCUUCCUUCACCUCGCGUUGAAGCUUGGUGGCUUUCAAAGGCCAGCCCAGAUGCGGCUGCUGGCGGGGGGACGUCAGGAGGUGGUUGCAUGGGGGGAGCAGAGAGGAAAGAUGGGAUGGAGGCAGAGCGGGAUGAAGCUAAGCACUGGCACAGUGCAGGGGAAGGAGAGGAGAGGAAGGGGCUCGUUGCGUUGGGAACGCGGGCUGCAGGGAGGCGUGCGGCCCUGCAGGAGACACGGUGGUCCGAGUAGAGCCCUCGCCCCAGCCCUGGCCGUGGUUCGCAAGCGGUGCCUGCCCCGUCCCCGCGCUACCCUGUGGCCGAGGAUCUCUAGUCCUUGGACAGGAGCUGUGGGACAGCACCGCAAAACGGGCACGGUUUUGCGCCCAGCGCGAGACAGCUGGAGAUUUGGGGACCCAAAGCCCUUGAGGUCUCCUGGUUGCUGUUCCCGGGUCUGGAGCUCGCUGGCUGUGAUGGCGAGCAGCGGGGACAGAGCCGGUCCGUGUGCCGGAGUGCUCGAGCUGCCAAGAAGGGCAGCGCUGUCGAUGGGAACCGAGCACCGAGGCUCGAGGGAGCGGGGACAGGCGCAGGGGACAGCUGGUGGCAGGACCGCGGUCACCUCAGCCCAGGGCUGGACCUCUCCCCUCAGCACUGGCGUUAUUCCAUCGCGGCUGCGAUUCCUCGGCUGA